UAGCCGUAAACGAUACUCGCUAGGUGUCGGCCACGGUGCGACCGUUGUCGGUGCCGUAGGGAAGCCGUGAAGCGAGCCACCUGGGAAGUACGGCCGCAAGGCUGAAACUUAAAGGAAUUGGCGGGGGAGCACAACAACGGGUGGAGCUUUGCGGUUUAAUUGGAUUCAACGCCGGAAAUCUUACCGGGACCGACAGCAACAUGAAGGCCAGGCUGAAGACUUUGCCGGAUUAGCUGAGAGGUGGUGCAGUGGCGUAGUCGUGU
RNAcentral lists this ribosomal RNA (263 nucleotides) under uncultured archaeon. RNAcentral's name for it is "partial 16S ribosomal RNA". It matches the Rfam family "Archaeal small subunit ribosomal RNA", at positions 748 to 1009 of the family's 1478-position model. The record is from RNAcentral.